CGCGUAGGCGGACUUUCAAGUCAGGGGUGAAAUCCCGAGGCUCAACCUCGGAACUGCCUUUGAUACUGCAAGUCUUGAGUCCGAGAGAGGUGAGUGGAAUUCCUAGUGUAGAGGUGAAAUUCGUAGAUAUUAGGAAGAACACCAGUGGCGAAGGCGGCUCACUGGCUCGGUACUGACGCUGAGGUGCGAAAGCGUGGGGAGCAAACA
This 207-nucleotide ribosomal RNA is filed under the name uncultured bacterium. RNAcentral describes it as "partial 16S ribosomal RNA". It matches the Rfam family "Bacterial small subunit ribosomal RNA", at positions 568 to 774 of the family's 1533-position model. The record is from RNAcentral.